Molecule: ribosomal RNA, 443 nt
Filed under: Elphidium sp. S4
Lineage: Eukaryota; Foraminifera; Rotaliida; Elphidiidae
Description: SSU rRNA
Rfam family: Eukaryotic small subunit ribosomal RNA
Source: RNAcentral
GACUCACGCGGGAAUCUUACCGGGUCCGGACACACUGAGGAUUGACAGGUUUCGAGAGUUUUUUUGGAGUUCGCUCCAGAAUGCUCUCUUAAAUAUGCUAGUCCUUUCAUGAUUAUGUGAUAGGUGGUGCAUGGCCGUUCUUAGUUCGUGGAGUGAUCUGUCUGCUUAAUUGCGUUUCACUAAAGGCGUCAUUAUAUUUUUGUGCUUGUGUUUGACCCCUCUUUCUUCGGAUUGAGCGCGUGUCUUUCACACACAAUUACUUUGACGUCUGAAAGCAACGAACGUGACCGUAACCUCUUGUUGCCUUCUCUUCUCUUCGGAGAAUGCUAGUUUUUUUCUUCGGAUAAAUUCUAGUAUAUGGAGGCUUUUACUCAAACUAGAGGGACCGCUGUUACUUUCUUUAAACCAGAGGAAGGUUGCGGCAAUAACAGGUCUGUGAUGCC